UACAGAGGGUGCGAGCGUUAAUCGGAAUCAUUGGGCGUAAAGCGCGCGUAGGCGGCCCUGUAAGUCCGUUGUGAAAGUCAAAGGCUCAACCUUUGAAAGCCGAUGGAUACUGCAGGGCUAGAGUCCGGAAGAGGCGAGUGGAAUUCCUGGUGUAGCGGUGGAAUGCGCAGAUAUCAGGAGGAACACCAAUAGCGAAGGCAGCUCGCUGGGACGGUACUGACGCUAAGGCGCGAAAGCGUGGGGAGCGAACAGG
RNAcentral lists this ribosomal RNA (253 nucleotides) under uncultured bacterium. RNAcentral describes it as "partial 16S ribosomal RNA". It matches the Rfam family "Bacterial small subunit ribosomal RNA", at positions 524 to 776 of the family's 1533-position model. The record is from RNAcentral.